Molecule: unclassified non-coding RNA, 146 nt
Filed under: soil metagenome
Description: partial internal transcribed spacer 1
Source: RNAcentral
CCGAGUUACAACUCCCAACCCCCUGUGAACAUACCACUUGUUGCCUCGGCGGAUCAGCCCGCUCCCGGUAAAACGGGACGGCCCGCCAGAGGACCCCUAAACUCUGUUUCUAUAUGUAACUUCUGAGUAAAACCAUAAAUAAAUCA